This 236-nucleotide ribosomal RNA is filed under the name uncultured bacterium. RNAcentral describes it as "partial 16S ribosomal RNA". It matches the Rfam family "Bacterial small subunit ribosomal RNA", at positions 107 to 334 of the family's 1533-position model. The record is from RNAcentral.
UGCGUAACACGUAGGUGACCUGCCCGGAAGUGGGGAAUAACAGUCCGAAAGGACUGCUAAUACCGCAUGUGGUGCGUGGGUUUUGAAGCUGCGUACCAAAGGUGCUCGCAAGAGCGCCGCUUUCGGAGGGGCCUGCGGCCCAUCAGCUAGUUGGUAGGGUAACGGCCUACCAAGGCGACGACGGGUAGGGGACCUGAGAGGGUGACCCCCCACACUGGCACUGACACACGGGCCAG